GAUGAACGCUGGCGGCGUGCCUAAUACAUGCAAGUCGAGCGAACAGACGAGGAGCUUGCUCCUCUGACGUUAGCGGCGGACGGGUGAGUAACACGUGGAUAACCUACCUAUAAGACUGGGAUAACUUCGGGAAACCGGAGCUAAUACCGGAUAAUAUAUUGAACCGCAUGGUUCAAUAGUGAAAGACGGUUUUGCUGUCACUUAUAGAUGGAUCCGCGCCGCAUUAGCUAGUUGGUAAGGUAACGGCUUACCAAGGCGACGAUGCGUAGCCGACCUGAGAGGGUGAUCGGCCAAACUGGAACUGAGACACGGUCCAGACUCCUACGGGAGGCAGCAGUAGGGAAUCUUCCGCAAUGGGCGAAAGCCUGACGGAGCAACGCCGCGUGAGUGAUGAAGGUCUUCGGAUCGUAAAACUCUGUUAUUAGGGAAGAACAAAUGUGUAAGUAACUAUGCACGUCUUGACGGUACCUAAUCAGAAAGCCACGGCUAACUACGUG
Molecule: ribosomal RNA, 497 nt
Filed under: uncultured bacterium
Lineage: Bacteria
Description: partial 16S ribosomal RNA
Rfam family: Bacterial small subunit ribosomal RNA
Source: RNAcentral